RNAcentral lists this ribosomal RNA (500 nucleotides) under uncultured bacterium. RNAcentral's name for it is "partial 16S ribosomal RNA". It matches the Rfam family "Bacterial small subunit ribosomal RNA", at positions 30 to 523 of the family's 1533-position model. The record is from RNAcentral.
AUUGAGCGCUAGCGGGAUGCCUUACACAUGCAAGUCGAACGGCAGCGCGGACUUCGGUCUGGCAGCGAGUGGCGGACGGGUGAGUAAUGUAUCGGAACGUGCCCAGUAGCGGGGGAUAACUACUCGAAAGAGUAGCUAAUACCGCAUACGCCCUACGGGGGAAAGGGGGGGAUCGCAAGACCUCUCACUAUUGGAGCGGCCGAUAUCGGAUUAGCUAGUUGGUGAGGUAAAGGCUCACCAAGGCGACGAUCCGUAGCUGGUUUGAGAGGACGACCAGCCACACUGGGACUGAGACACGGCCCAGACUCCUACGGGAGGCAGCAGUGGGGAAUUUUGGACAAUGGGGGCAACCCUGAUCCAGCCAUUCCGCGUGUGCGAUGAAGGCCUUCGGGUUGUAAAGCACUUUUGGCAGGAAAGAAAUCGCACGGAUUAAUACUCUGUGUGGAUGACGGUACCUGCAGAAUAAGCACCGGCUAACUACGUGCCAGCCGCCGCCGUAA